This 459-nucleotide ribosomal RNA is filed under the name uncultured bacterium. Its description in RNAcentral is "partial 16S ribosomal RNA". It matches the Rfam family "Bacterial small subunit ribosomal RNA", at positions 339 to 795 of the family's 1533-position model. The record is from RNAcentral.
CUACGGGCCGCUGCAGUGAGGAAUAUUGGGCAAUGGAGGCAACUCUGACCCAGCCAUGCCGCGUGCAGGAAGACGGCCCUCUGGGUUGUAAACUGCUUUUGUUUGGGAAUAAACCCUUCUACGUGUAGAAGGCUGAAGGUACCUUACGAAUAAGGAUCGGCUAACUCCGUGCCAGCAGCCGCGGUAAUACGGAGGAUCCAAGCGUUAUCCGGAUUUAUUGGGUUUAAAGGGUCCGUAGGCGGAUCUUUAAGUCAGUGGUGAAAGCCCACAGCUCAACUGUGGAACUGCCAUUGAUACUGGAGAUCUUGAGUGUAGUAGAAGUAGGCGGAAUAGGGCAUGUAGCGGUGACAUGCAUAGAUAUGCCCUAGAACACCGAUUGCGAAGGCAGCUUACUAUGUUACAACUGACGCUGAGGGACGAAAGCGUGGGGAGCAAACAGGAUUAGAUACCCCCGUAGUC